AAUUUUAGACAAUGGGCGCAAGCCUGAUCCAGCCAUGCCGCGUGAGUGAAGAAGGACUUCGGGUUGUUACGCUCUUUCGGACGGAAAGAAAUCCCCCAGUCUAAUACCCUGCGCGGAUGACGGUACUGUCCUAAGAAGACCCGGCUAACUACGUGCCAGCAGCCGCGGUAAUAAUUAGGGUGCGAGCGUUAAUCGUAAUUACUGGGCGGAAAGCGUGAGCAGGCGGUUGAUUAAGACAGGCGUGAAAUCCCCGGGCUUAACCUGGGAACUGCGCUUGUGACUGGUCAGCUAGAGGACGGCAGAGGGGGGUGGAAUUCCACGUGUAGCAGUGAAAUGCGUAGAGAUGUGGAGGAACACCGAUGGCGAAGGCAGCCCCCUGGGCCGAUACUGACGCUCGUGCACGAAAGCGUGAGUAGCAAACAGG
Molecule: ribosomal RNA, 424 nt
Filed under: uncultured bacterium
Lineage: Bacteria
Description: partial 16S ribosomal RNA
Rfam family: Bacterial small subunit ribosomal RNA
Source: RNAcentral